This 242-nucleotide unclassified non-coding RNA is filed under the name Mortierella sp. RNAcentral's name for it is "partial contains 5.8S ribosomal RNA, internal transcribed spacer 2, and large subunit ribosomal RNA". The stretch from base 1 to 52 matches the Rfam family "5.8S ribosomal RNA", at positions 103 to 154 of the family's 154-position model. The record is from RNAcentral. Lineage: Eukaryota; Fungi; Mortierellomycota; Mortierellomycetes; Mortierellales; Mortierellaceae.
AACGCACAUUGCGCCCUCUGGUAUUCCGGGGGGCAUGCCUGUUCGAGCGUCAUUACAACCCUCACGCCUGGCGUGGUAUUGGGCUCGCCCUGUAGGGCCUGCCUCAAAGUCAGUGGCGGCACCGUUUGACCCCUAAGCGUAGUAAUACUCGUCGCUUCUGGUGUCCGGCGGAGGCCUGCCAGCAACCCCCAAAUUUUUUAAAGGUUGACCUCGAAUCAGGUAGGGAUACCCGCUGAACUUAA